CAGCUAUUUUGAAUUGUCAGUUAGACCUCAGUAUUCCAUGCCUUUGGGUUCAGUUGCUGGAAUUAUCAUUUUCUUUUUUUAUGUCAUAUUUCCUUGAUUUUUUGUAGUGUUUGAGGAUAUGCAAUUCUACUUUCACAUUUGAAGUAGCAGUCCCCUUCUUUAACUAAGGAGCUGGAUUUUGAGGACUCCCUCAAGAGUGGCACAAGAGUUGGCAGCAGAGUAGAGGGAGGUGUGGGCUUAGCAUCUCGGGUAUGGGGAUGCUCAUGGGUCCAGUGGGGAGAUCCUCGAGCAGGGUACACCCAGAGGUCUGUGGGCAAGUCUCCUAUUGAAGUCCUGAAGCAGGCAGGAAGAAACAUGUUCCUUCAGUUCACUUUACUAUUUUGAUCUGCCUCCUUUCCUUUCCUCUCCCUCCCCCAAGUCAUGGAAGUCCUUCCUCAGAAAUCCAGGUGCUGCUGGAGAGAAACAAGUCUCCUGCUGCAACCCACACAACUGAUGCUGACAUCACUCUUGAAUCAUUUAUUUCAAUCAUGAAGACACCUGGAAACUACGGGAAACUCAUCUCACUUUGUUGUAGUACUGAUUGCUAUCAAAGGUUUGCAGUUUUUUACCUGAGUGUCCUGUUUAUUUGUGAAGAAGCUAAAUGACAGCCUGGUUCAUUUUUGAAUUUUGUACGAGGAGUAGAGUUCACAUGUAGUGCUAACUUAGAAUUCAAGAGAUAUUUUCUUCUUGGAUGUUUGUCUUAUUUUGACAAUAUUAAAGUUUUGUUAUGAACAGUG
Molecule: long non-coding RNA, 776 nt
Filed under: Equus asinus (donkey)
Lineage: Eukaryota; Metazoa; Chordata; Mammalia; Perissodactyla; Equidae
Description: lncRNA (ENSEASG00005027139.1)
Source: RNAcentral